RNAcentral lists this ribosomal RNA (468 nucleotides) under uncultured bacterium. Its description in RNAcentral is "partial 16S ribosomal RNA". It matches the Rfam family "Bacterial small subunit ribosomal RNA", at positions 28 to 507 of the family's 1533-position model. The record is from RNAcentral.
GACGAACGCUGGCGGCGUGCUUAACACAUGCAAGUCGAACGGAAAGGCCCUGCUUUUGUGGUGUGCUCGAGUGGCGAACGGGUGAGUAACCCGUGAGUAACCUGCCCUUGACUUUGGGAUAACUUCAGGAAACUGGGGCUAAUACCGGAUAGGAGCUCCUGCUGCAUGGUGGGGGUUGGACAGUUUCGGCGGUUGGGGAUGGACUCGCGGCUUAUCAGCUGGUUGGUGGGGUAGUGGCUUACCAAGGGUUUGGUGGAUAGCCGGCCUGGGAGGGUGACCGGCCACAUGGGGACUGCGAGACGGCCCAGACGCCUACAGUAGGCAGCAGUGGGGAAUAUUGCACAGUGGGCGGAAGCCUGAUGCAGCAACGCCGCGAUCGGGAUGACGGCCUUCGGGUUGUAAACCGCUGUCGCCUGUGACGAAGCGGGAGUGACGGUAAUGGGUAAAGAAGCACCGGCUAACUACGUG